RNAcentral lists this long non-coding RNA (560 nucleotides) under Monodelphis domestica (gray short-tailed opossum). Its description in RNAcentral is "lncRNA (ENSMODG00000047012.1)". The record is from RNAcentral. Lineage: Eukaryota; Metazoa; Chordata; Mammalia; Didelphimorphia; Didelphidae.
ACAGGGAGAAGUGAUGGAAGGUCACAUGGGAGCCUGAGACAAGAAUUCUAAAGUCCCAACUGAAAAACACUCUCUCUCCUAGAGAAGACUUUGGAGAAAUUGGAGGUUUUCCAUCUGUCUACCAGUUUUCUGGCCCUUUGGGAGAUAACCAGCUUGAGUGAGAGAGAUCCUGCUUGGAUUCACUGCUAGCAGCUGGACAGAAGAUCAAAAAAAUCACUUCUCUACUGGACCUACUUUGGACAUUUUCUUCUGACGAUCUUGGCUCAUAUACUGGACUCUAUUUGGAGAAAGAAUGUAAAGGGGGAGAGUGAGAACAUGGAUUGCAAAAUGUAUGCAUAUCAACUAUAUACCUCUGAAAUGAGUUUAAUAAGAAGACUAUAUAGUAUUUAUAUUGUACCUACUAUGUGCCAGGAACUGUGCUAAGAUAUUCCCAAUAAUCCUGGGUGGUAAGUUCUUUUAUUAUUCUCAAUUUAUACUUGAGGAAACUGAGGCAAAUAGAGGUUAAACUAGUAAGUAUCUCAGGCCAGAUUUGAACUCCAGUCUCCUUGACUCCAGGCUUA